UGAACGCUGGCGGCGUGCCUAAUACAUGCAAGUCGAGCGAACGGACGAGAAGCUUGCUUCUCUGAUGUUAGCGGCGGACGGGUGAGUAACACGUGGAUAACCUACCUAUAAGACUGGGAUAACUUCGGGAAACCGGAGCUAAUACCGGAUGAUAUUUUGAACCGCAUGGUUCAAAAGUGAAAGACGGUCUUGCUGUCACUUAUAGAUGGAUCCGCGCUGCAUUAGCUAGUUGGUAAGGUAACGGCUUACCAAGGCAACGAUGCAUAGCCGACCUGAGAGGGUGAUAGGCCACACUGGAACUGAGACACGGUCCAGACUCCUACGGGAGGCAGCAGUAGGGAAUCUUCCGCAAUGGGCGAAAGCCUGACGGAGCAACGCAGCGUGAGUGAUGAAGGUAUUCGGAUCGUAAAACUCUGUUAUUAGGGAAGAACAUAUGUGUAAGUAACUGUGCACAUCUUGACGGUACCUAAUCAGAAAGCCACGGCUAACUACGUG
RNAcentral lists this ribosomal RNA (495 nucleotides) under uncultured bacterium. RNAcentral's name for it is "partial 16S ribosomal RNA". It matches the Rfam family "Bacterial small subunit ribosomal RNA", at positions 30 to 507 of the family's 1533-position model. The record is from RNAcentral.